Cyprinodon tularosa is the source of this 648-nucleotide long non-coding RNA. RefSeq lists it as uncharacterized. The record is from RefSeq and is a predicted model, not a curated record. The transcript has 3 exons. Lineage: Eukaryota; Metazoa; Chordata; Actinopteri; Cyprinodontiformes; Cyprinodontidae.
GAGCGGAGCGCUGACGGAGUAUGUGGAAUCUGGGGUCACAGUGUUGCGCCGCAUAUCGUGGAGGGAGCGAGUUUCAGCGUACCGUAGUGUUCCUGAUAUCCUGCCUUGUUCUGCCUCUCAACUACUGAGCUUGCCUGUUCCCAUCUGAACAUUCUGCCUGAACUCUCUGUGGAUUCCUGGAACCCUGAACCAGCCUGUUCCUGUUCUGAUUUGAACCCCUGAAUGGGCUCCGGACUCCUGGAUCUCUGAACUGUCCUCUUCUGAUGCGUUUCCCUGACCGGCCUUCAGACUCCUGCAUGUUUUCUAGGGGUUCCAGCAUCUGGUUCACUCUGGGAGGCACCCACACAUCUUGUUGGCAGCCCACCGACUGGAUCCUACUUCGUUCUAAGGAGAUGAACUAAACUGUUGAACCAGGGGUUUAAUGGCAUCACCUGUUCAUCACAGUGAUGGAUCAGCUGAUUGCUGGUGAGUCAGCCAUUAAAGGAGCCCCUCCCUGCUGUGUGCUUCUCUCUCUAUGCAUGUGACUCUGAUGACAUCACAUGGGAACCAUGAUCAUGUCCUGUGAUCUCACAUUUUCAGGUGAGGCACAUCUCCCAAUGUCAUGUGUCUCAAAUGGAAUGGAAACCAAACAAGAUUUAUUUUCUUAAU